This 1170-nucleotide ribosomal RNA is filed under the name Microbacterium sp. DCD01. Its description in RNAcentral is "bacterial SSU rRNA". It matches the Rfam family "Bacterial small subunit ribosomal RNA", at positions 150 to 1332 of the family's 1533-position model. The record is from RNAcentral. Lineage: Bacteria; Bacillati; Actinomycetota; Actinomycetes; Micrococcales; Microbacteriaceae.
CUGGAAACGGCGUCUAAUACUGGAUAUGUGACGUGACCGCAUGGUCUGCGUUUGGAAAGAUUUUUCGGUUGGGGAUGGGCUCGCGGCCUAUCAGCUUGUUGGUGAGGUAAUGGCUCACCAAGGCGUCGACGGGUAGCCGGCCUGAGAGGGUGACCGGCCACACUGGGACUGAGACACGGCCCAGACUCCUACGGGAGGCAGCAGUGGGGAAUAUUGCACAAUGGGCGGAAGCCUGAUGCAGCAACGCCGCGUGAGGGAUGACGGCCUUCGGGUUGUAAACCUCUUUUAGCAGGGAAGAAGCGAAAGUGACGGUACCUGCAGAAAAAGCGCCGGCUAACUACGUGCCAGCAGCCGCGGUAAUACGUAGGGCGCAAGCGUUAUCCGGAAUUAUUGGGCGUAAAGAGCUCGUAGGCGGUUUGUCGCGUCUGCUGUGAAAUCCCGAGGCUCAACCUCGGGCCUGCAGUGGGUACGGGCAGACUAGAGUGCGGUAGGGGAGAUUGGAAUUCCUGGUGUAGCGGUGGAAUGCGCAGAUAUCAGGAGGAACACCGAUGGCGAAGGCAGAUCUCUGGGCCGUAACUGACGCUGAGGAGCGAAAGGGUGGGGAGCAAACAGGCUUAGAUACCCUGGUAGUCCACCCCGUAAACGUUGGGAACUAGUUGUGGGGUCCAUUCCACGGAUUCCGUGACGCAGCUAACGCAUUAAGUUCCCCGCCUGGGGAGUACGGCCGCAAGGCUAAAACUCAAAGGAAUUGACGGGGACCCGCACAAGCGGCGGAGCAUGCGGAUUAAUUCGAUGCAACGCGAAGAACCUUACCAAGGCUUGACAUAUACGAGAACGGGCCAGAAAUGGUCAACUCUUUGGACACUCGUAAACAGGUGGUGCAUGGUUGUCGUCAGCUCGUGUCGUGAGAUGUUGGGUUAAGUCCCGCAACGAGCGCAACCCUCGUUCUAUGUUGCCAGCACGUAAUGGUGGGAACUCAUGGGAUACUGCCGGGGUCAACUCGGAGGAAGGUGGGGAUGACGUCAAAUCAUCAUGCCCCUUAUGUCUUGGGCUUCACGCAUGCUACAAUGGCCGGUACAAAGGGCUGCAAUACCGUGAGGUGGAGCGAAUCCCAAAAAGCCGGUCCCAGUUCGGAUUGAGGUCUGCAACUCGACCUCAUGAAGUCGGAGU